UUAUGUUGCAUCAGUUAGCAGAAGAGAGAUGUGGCUACAGAAGGAGAGAGUCCAGUGGAGGCUUCUGAGGUGAGGACGGCUCAUAACGUCCGGAAUGGAGCUAAUGGAAUGGCACAUGGGUUCCAUGUGUUUGAUGAGUUUGAUACCAUUCCACUUAUUCUGCUCCAGCCAUUACCAUGAGCCCGUCCUCCCCAAUUAAGCUGCCACCAACCUCCUGUGGUACUGACUGACUGAUCUGGAGAUAAAGAGAGACAAGAUGAGACUCAACUAGCAGAGAUGGAAACCCUACCAGAGAAAGGCCACCGGUAACUUCCAGGAACUGUACCAUCAGCCUGAUGUCAAGAGUUAAGGUGUACCCCAAUGGAGACAGCUGCAGUAACGUGAGGCUGGGAAUGUCCCGGUCCGCAUCCAGGCUGUACGCUGCAGACGGCAUGGCUUCUGUACCGUGAGGUUGGGCCUAUCCCGGUCCACUUCCAGGCUGUACGCUGCAGACGGCAGGCCUCUGUACCGUGAGGUUGGGCCUAUCCCGGUCCGCUUCCAGGCUGUACGCUGCAGACGGCAGGCCUCUGUACCGUGAGGUUGGGCCUAUCCCGGUCCGCUUCCAGGCUGUACGCUGCAGACGGCAGGGCUCUG
Molecule: long non-coding RNA, 633 nt
Organism: Oncorhynchus tshawytscha (Chinook salmon)
Lineage: Eukaryota; Metazoa; Chordata; Actinopteri; Salmoniformes; Salmonidae
Source: Ensembl